Molecule: non-coding RNA, 10054 nt
Organism: Sus scrofa (pig)
Lineage: Eukaryota; Metazoa; Chordata; Mammalia; Artiodactyla; Suidae
Source: RefSeq, a predicted model, not a curated record
UGUGCCAUGGGUGUGGCCCUAAAAAAAAAAAAAAAAAAAAAGAUGAAAAAAAAUUACCGUUUUAGACUUACCACUUCUGAACUGUGUUCUUUCUUCCUGUCUCGCUCCCUUUUUUCCUUCCUUCCCCUGCACAUAUGGUGUAUGAAAGUUCCCAGGCAUCUGUGAUCUCUGCUAUAGCUGCAGCAGCACCAGCUCCUUGACCCACUGAGUGGGGCCAGGGAUCAAACCUGCAUCCUCAUGGAUACUAGUCAGGUUCUUAACCUGCUGAGCCACAGCUGGAACUCCUGAACUGUUUCCUUAGGAAAAACUUUGAGGGCUAGGAUUACUGGGUCAAAGGGUAAGAACAGCUUUAUGAUAGUCCUUUAAGGCCACAAGGUUUUUUUUUGUGCUUAUCCCACUUGGGGAGGUGAGGAAAGGAGAGCAAAAUGUCAGCAUGUUUAUGAACGGGGAGUUCUGACAUAAAAAUCAAAAGUGACAGCCUUAUACAAGUUGAGGCCUGCUGACUGCAACUGUGUUUUAGUUUCUAAAGUUAAUAAAAUUUCUAUCACCAAGAAAGAAAAAGCAGCUGAAGCAACACAAGCAGUUGGACCUCUGAUUGAGUGAGGUGGCUGUGGGGGUAAAUUGGGCAAUUCUUUGCUUCUGUGUGCAGGUGAUCCCCGGGGGAGCAGGUCCCUGCAUCUGACAGGGAAUGAGCACAUAACCAGAACAUACAGUCCUAUUGUCAGAAUAUGUCAUAAGAAGGUGGGUAGGAACAUGUGUUAUAAUGAAUUGAAUCUUUUGCCUCUUUUUUUUUUUUUUUCCCUUUUUUUCUUAGGGCCACACCUGCAGCAUAUAGAAGUUCCCAGGCUAGGGGUCUAAUCAGAGCUGCAGUUGCCUGCCUACGCCACAGCUACAGCAACCCAAGAUCCUUAACCCACUGAGUGAGGCCAGGGAUCGAACUUGUAUCCUUAAAGACACUGUGUUGGGUUCUUAACCUGCUGAGCCACAACGGAACUCCUUGCCUUUUUGAAACUCAACUGAAGUUGGGGUUCAGUAGCAUCCAAGCCUCUGACAAAGAAAGCCAUCAUCUUUGUCCAGGUCCCAGCAGAAGACGUGAGCAAUAGAGCAUUUCACCUUAGAUUUCAGAGUGGGAGAUUAGAGAAAGGGGAAUUUGGUACCACUGCCUUCUGGCCAACUUCACUGUCACCUUUAAAAAUAGGCUUAUCUUCUUUUUCCUCUGCCUGGUUGAGGCUCCUCAGUUUUAUAGACCUGUGGAGGGGAGUUCGAACAGGUGGGGACAAACCAUUUCCUCUCACUCUUUAGCUUAAUGUGUAAGCUAUUCAGAAAUACGUUAUUCAAGGCCAUCAAUGGAUAGUCAGUAAGUAAGUAUUUAUUGAACUCCAAAUGUGUAUCGGGCAUUAAAAAUAUGGAUGUGAAUAAGGAAGAGAAUAUCUGAUCCUUAAGUAGCUGAUUGAAUUGAAUGAGUGAAUCCAGUUUUAUCGUUACUUAUUAAGGAUGAUUGUCUUUAAAAGACAUUUUUUAGCAGAUGUUCAGUGGUUUCUCAGGUUUUAUAAAAAUUAUUAGAGAAUAAACAUUUUCCCAUGAGUUUAAGAAAAAUGUAAUUUUCCACAUAUGAAUUGUUAGUUCCUAUUCUUCAGCAUUGACAAUUCAAAAAAACAAAACAAAACAAAACAAAAAACCCACGUUUGGCAGAAGGGAGUGAAACUCUGAGAAGUUAAUGCAUUGUCCCAGGUCAUACUGGAAAUAAAAUAAGAGUCAGACCAAGAAACAGGGUCACCAACUCCUGGCUGGUGUUUGUUCUUCUAUGCAUUCCAAGCACUAUCUCUAAACAUAUCUUUCUAUCCCUGUCUUAAGGAUAAUAUGAUUUGUCUUAUACUCCUUAAUUAAGGAGAACGGGCCUCUGAGAAGCGCUGUUUCUAUAGAGCCCGACUUAUGCUUAUUCUGUAACUUUGGAAUUACAGAACAUUUUCUCACUAAAGUUGAAAUGGGAGAAGGCUGGGUUUUGUAUGAUUACUGGGACCAGAGAGGCCAGUGACAUUUUUUAUUUCUGAUUUUCCUUGCAGAGGUGAAAAUAUGCUUCUCACUUGUACCUUACACCUCCUUUCUUUAUGUUUUAAAGUUCCAUUCCCUUUUUAUAGCACCUUAGGGAUUCCUCCUUUCCAGACCUCUCUCUACUCCUUCUCUAAUAUCCAAACCAAUAUUCUUUGUAUUUUUCUGAUAAAAUAUUUCUUGAAUUAAUUAGGCAAAGUCAAGUUCUUUCUUGAAUUAAUUAGGCUUAUAACUAUACCUGUUACAAAAGAAUAAUACUUAGGCCUAAGACAUGGUCUGUUAACUCCAGUUUCUAUAUAGUAGCUGAUCUUUAUCUUUGUGUAUCUUAAAAUUACUGCUAUUGAAAACAUUGAAUUACUGUAGAGCUAUAACUAUCACUCAGGCAUUUUAAAAAAAAAUUGCAGGUUACAAAUCUCAAAAUUAAAUUAAUUAAAAUGUUUAGUUGGGAGUUCCCUUCAGGGCUCAGUGGUUAACAAACCUGACUAGGAUCCAUGAGGAUGUGGGUUUGAUCCCUGGCCUCACUCAGUGACUUAAGGAUCCAGCAUUGCCGUGAGCUAUGGUGUAGGUCACAGACACAGUUCGGAUCCCACAUUGCUGUAGCUGUGGCUGUGGUUGGCCGCUGUAGCUCCACUUCGACCCCUAGCUUGGGAACUUCCAUAUGCUGAGGCAUUGGCCAAAAAAUAAAAAAAAAAAUUAUUUAUUGAAUGAUAGUUGAUUUAUAAUAUAUUAAUUUCUGCUGUACAGCAAAGUUACUGGUUAUACAAAUAUAUAUUUUUCAUUCUAUUAUGGUUUAUCACAGGAUUUUGAAUACAGUUCCCACUGCUAUACAGUAGGACCUUGUUGUUUAUCCAUUCUAUAUAUAAUAGUUUGUAUCUGCUAAUCCCAAACUCCCAAUCCAUCCCCCCGCUCCCAUGGCAACCACAAAUCUAUUCUCUAUGAAAAACCUCAGAAGUUCUGAUAAUCAAAUGGGCCUCUUUUCAUACUCAAUUUCACUUUUAUAUGUUAAAGAAUGAGUUUCAUCGUGAUAGUUUAGGGAGAGCAUUACAAAGUUAUCUGAUACAAUCAUGCAUUGCCAUUAUUGAUUGGUGCAGUUGAAAUAGAUUAUCUGUUGCUAAAAUGUGUUAACAUCUAAGGAACAUAUGCAGGAACUAGUAAUUGCCCCCUAGUUUUGUGAGACCUCAUACAUACUCAGGCUUAAUUUUAUUCCCUUCCUGAUUUAAAACAGCCCGCCCAAUUGGUAGGGAAUAGUUGCACUUGGCUGAAGACUCAAGUCCAUUUGCUGCUGGUAACUUGUGUGAGGAUCCAGCAAGUCAUGUCCCAGGCUGGUAUCUAGCUGUUAAGAGCUUGAACUUGGUCAUCACCAGGUCUUCUGUUUUCAAGAUUUUAGCAGUCUAUAAGGAUUGAAGUUCCAGUCUUCCUUUCAAACCAAGUAUUUCACUUUAUCAAAAAGGAGUGAUAUUGUAUAUGGAUGUUGAAUGAAAACCAGUGAUUAAAAAAGAGUUGGCAUAAUCAAGAUGCCAGCAGUCUUGGUGGAAUGGAGGUGGUGCUGGCCCAAGUUUUCCAGCCUCAUUGUCACUUUUCAUUUAGUAUUUAAUUCAAAGAGUCUCUGUCCUGCUUACAGUGAGAAAGCCAAUGUCCCCACCAACAUGUCCAAGUAUUCUUGGGGAGGGGGACACUGGCUAAUAUUUUUUCUAUUCAUGUUUUGAUAUAAUAUUCUGAUUCCAUUAAAUUUUCAGUCUCUUAGCUCUCCUUUUUCAGCUACUCCCUCUUUUAUCAUUGCAUUGACUAUAAAUGCAGAAUAGCAUUCAUUUUUUUUCAUAUUUUAUUCAAAUCAGUCACACAACAUAAUUAUGUACUGAAGCAUUAGGAUAGAGGGUUUACCUCAAAGCUCAGCCUAGUGGGCAACUUGUGGAACUUACCAGCCUCUCAGGUUCCUAGCUGUGCCUUGGUCACUCCCACUUUUGAAAAGUUCCAGACUGGCUGACUCCUCUCCCAUCUGCCCUCCUCACCCCCCAUGUUUCCCAAAGCUCCAUACUCCUACUUUAUUAUACCUAACAGCUUAGCUCUGUUUCACAGCUAGAACAUUGGUGCUCUUUGCAGCCUGGGAGGAUUUCAAUGUAUAUGCCUAAACAAAGAUAAUUCUUUCCCUAAAAGGAAUGCUGCCUCCACUUUACAAGUAUUUAUUUUUUCCUUUUGGGCAAAGUAAGAUGGCAAGUUAGGGAGUAGUGAGUGGGAAGACUUGGAAGCAGCUUGGGAAGAGGAUGCUGGGAAAGGAAAUUGGCAUCACUGAUUUGCUUACCACCUGCAGUGCCCUGGGCAAGGGUUUUACAAGUAUUAUCCCAAUUAUCAUCCCAACAAGCCUAUGAGGUAGAUAAUAUUGUUUCUCCUACUAUAAAGACAAGGAAACAGGUUUGGGGAGGUUCAGUAACUUGCUCAGGAGCAUAAUGCUGAGUGGCAGAUCUGGAAUUUGGAUACAGGCAGACUUUGUAAAUCACUGUAAAAUGCUGCUGCUGCCUGACCCAUUAUGCUGACGCCCUGCAUCCAUUAUUGCAUUCUGUUCCUGUGAGUUAUGUGCAAUUUUCAUCCUUUUUUCCCCAAGAAUAAACUUUCCAGAAGUCUCAGAGUUGGGAUGUGGUGGCGCCAGGAGUCAAACCCAGCUUGCAUCACUAAUACCCUAAGUCUAUGUGGCAUGUUGCCUUGAUGGGCUUUCCGCUUAAAAUAGUCAUGUAUCUGUACCUUUACUUGGGCUUAACAAGCAGAAUGUAUAAUGACCCCAUUAAAAUUUUUCCAGCCUUUAUAAUAAAAAUCACAGUGUUGAUGCCUGAGAACAUUUUUUUUUUUUUUAAAGUUUACAGUGUGAGCAAUAGAAUAGGAGAAAGAGUGCAUCAAGGAAGAUUAAACACUUUCAGAUAGUAAAGACACUACUGGGCAAGAAAUAUACACACUUGGGAUUGUGAGGUAAGGGUAUUGCUCUAAUUUUGGAAUUCCAAACCAUGGGUUCUGUCAAGAAACAUCUUACCAUGUACUUCAACUUGUCAGAAAUAAACUGGCAAGAAUGAAAAAACAUCAUUUAGGUUAAAUGUUGCAAUGAAAAUACUGUUUCCACUGUCUUUUGAAAAUACAGUGCUUGCAGAAAUAUCUUGCACAUAAAAAUUAUGGAAAUGGUGAUAGGGAUAUUGAAUUUAUUUAUUUAUUUAUUUACUUUUUAGGGCCACACCCACAACACAUGGAGGGUCCCAGGCUAGGGUUUGAAUCAGCGCUGUAGCUGCCAGCCUACACCACAGCCACAGCAACACAAAGUCCGAGCCGCAUCUGAGACCUACCCCAUAGCUCACGACACCACUGAUCCUUAGCCCACUGAACAAGUCCAGGGAUUGAACCUGAAACCUCAUGGUUCCUAGUCGGAUUCAUUUCCGCUGCACCACGAUGGGAACUUCAAGUCUGUUUUUAAAAAGUAGCUUAAUGGAGAAAUUAAGAGAAUGUAGAAUCAAUAGCAUGAAUAGCAUCCAUCAAUAUCCAUCCCACGGGGUGCCUGAAUUCCUUUUUUGAUGUCCUUGGCAGGUGUUUGUGCAGCCUUUUUUUGGUUACCUCUAGUGUUGGAGAGCUCUCUUUCCUAAUUCAGGGAGGGACUUUCUUAGGGAAAUGGGCUGUGUUAGGUGUUACAUAAUUCAGUGUAAUGAUGAAAUAUGUUUUCUGGUAUAAUCUGUUGAUUUUUGUUUUUGCUUAGUGAAACAGGAGAGAUUUAAUUUCUCCUGUUUUGUAGAUGUGGUUCAAAUCCUUUUCAAAAUGUAGGAAAUGUGAACUUGUGGGAACAAUGUUAGACGUGGAGUAAGGAGCCACUUGCAUCUUUGUGCGAUUCCCGAGAAUCCCUUCUCUUGGCUGUUUUCUAGGCGCAUCUCUUGGGGUUGUUUUAAGAGUUAAAUGCAAAUGAAUCUGAAAUCAGUUUUAAUAACACCACUUUAUUGUUCUGUACUUUAUGAGUCAUUAAAUUGAGGCAGGCAAUGCCCUAAAUGUAGUCAGAUGAGUGUAGAGUGCAGUGAGGCAGAUACUUUGCUUAAUUAUACAGGAAUUGUCAAGACCUGGAGCACUUGCGAGCCCAGAGUUUGCGUGGGGGUAGGGGGUGGAUUCUAGUUGUCAAAAAUAUUUCAACGCUAGGAAAGGGAGCACGUGUUCCAAUCUACCUGCAGGCAGGGCAGAUAUUUCCUGUAAAAGAUGCUCCCAGCUUCCCUUCCCUGAAGCUCUGGGUCCCAGAUUCAUUCCAUCAGCACCCAAGGACCUCCCACAAUGAAGUAGUUUGUCCCUUGAGGGCUGAGGUCCUGAUCAGAUUCCAGCAGGUGGGUCUUGGCUCUAGGACCCAAUCCAGCUCUGCUCACCUUUCCUGGGGUGAGACUUUACUCAUCUGAUAGUGAAGGGCCUGCCCUUACGGGGAGACUUCUGUACUCAACCAUUACCUGCCUACUUUCUAUCAUUGGUGCCUUAGUUACCUCAACUCUCUGUUCAACAUUUUGUAUUGGAUUCACUUAAUAAGAAACCAUUUCCUACAUAAUGCCUCCAGUUUUCUAAACUUCUGAGAUAGUAUGUCUUAGAUGAGUGAAUUAACAUUUACAUACUGCUAUAGAUACAAUAGAAAGACCUGCUGUAGAGCAGAGGGAACUCUACUUAAUAUUUUGUAAUAACCUAUAAGGGAAAAGAAUCUGAAAAAAAUAUGCAUAACUGAAUUACUUUGCUGAACACCUGAAACUAACACAACAUUGUAAAUGGACUACAGUUAAAAAGAAAAAAGAAAAAAAAAGAGUGGUUUUCAAAAUACGGUCUUUGAACCAGUAGAAUUAGUAUCUCCUGGGAACUUGUUGAGAUGCAAUUUUUUUAGGCUCUAUGUCAGCUGUACUGUAUCAGAAACUCUAGGGAUAGGAUCCAACAAUCCACCUUCAGGGGACUCUGACUCACCUAAAUGUUUUCACACCCUGUCCUGCACUGUCUGGUUGUCCUCUGUGAAGGCAGAUGAGGCCACUUCAACCACAUUUUCACCGCCCACUCCCCCCGUACUAGUCCUAGAGUAGAUUUCUGCCUAGUUUCAGUGUUCAUUCUACCUCUACCAUCUUGUUGCUCAAAUCCAUCAAAAAGAUCAUGAUUAUUUCUAUAUAUCAAGAGUCCAGGCUAAGUAAGAUCACCAGGAGAGCACAAUAAGCCACAUAUUCUGGUUCUGUGACUUACAGACCAUCCUCAUCUGACCUAGCUGGGUACUUGCUCUGCAAUGGCAAAUAACACAAAUUCUUUAAAGAACAAAAGAAAUGCUGCUGGAGGCGGUGGUGGGGGUGGUGGAGAAGCCCAAAAGAUUGAAGUCAGUUUGGAUAUAACCCUGUAUCACACUCAGGAUAACUUCCCUGUGUUUCCUUCUUUUCUCCUCUGUUCUAGUUCUGAUUUUCUUUCUUAUAGGAGCAGAUGAGUAGUUUGACAAAGCUUUUAGCUCAUGAAAAGAGCAUUACCUUAUUUAUAGACUUUGGGCGUUACUAUCUAGAGGUUUAAAUGUGAAAGCUGAGGUAUGGCUUCAUGACUGCUCUUAAUUUCCUCAGGAAUAACUAAUAACAAUACAUCAUUGUUUAGCAGCUCUGGUUUUCAUUAAAUUUAAUUAAAUCUCCCAGAAGCUUUAAAUUUAGGCUAACUUCAAAAUGCAGGUGGCUUCUGUUAAGUAUAAUUAUAUUUCCUUUACAGCUGCCAUGGUUUGGGAAAACUGGCCUGUCAGACUUAAAAUCUCUAACAAGCUUACCAGUCCUUGGGUUUCAGAGAGACCAUUCCCAAGCUCAGCUCUCCCUCCCUCCCUCGCAUCCCUCUUUCCUUCCCCCUUUUGCUGAAAGCUAAGGCGAAUGUGAACCUAACAAAAGUUGCCCAAUGGUGCUUACAACCUCACUCACGAGUUAAGGUCAACAUUUCUGAGAUUCGUUUUGUCAGAUGGAGUCCAAGACAGUCUUGGUUGACCACUGGGACUUAUAAAGGACUGUGCACAUGUGCAGUGAAGGCAGUGCAGCAAUAUUGCCGAAGGCCUUUGGUGAACCAUCCGUACUUCCCAGACGGCAAACUGAGUCAUGAGAAGGGAUCUGCUCAAGGGCAGUUUUCUGAAGCCUGCAACUAACAACAUUGUAAAUGGACUACAGUUACAAUGUGGGUGGGAAAACUGAGGCCGGCAUGGGGGGUAGGGAGAGGAGUUAUUUAACAGGUACAGGGUGCAGCACUGGUCCUCUAGGCUCCAAGGUUUUCACAGGAAAAUUCUUCCUCGGAGGUCCCAGAAAAAUUGCAUUUUUGUAAUUGUGCUGAAGUUUCACAUUAGCAUUGUUCUCACCUAGCUAAGAGCAUAGUAUAUCAUGACAAAGGUAGGGCAGGAAGGUUGCCAGGACUUUGAUGAAGUUCAAAAUUUUUUUUGCACUCUUGAUAUCUGUUGCACUUCCCUGGGUCUGAACACAGAUUAUCUAGGUCAAUUCAAUUUCUUUGGAAGGAAACAAUUUUAAAGUUGCAAGCAGAUAUCUCUACUACUUGUGUACAUUCUGUGGGAUUUCAGCUGGCAUCUAGUGCACAUUUAAUGACGUGCAGGCUUGUGAUGUUGAUCUGUGGUCAAUCAGGGAUCAGUUACAAGCAGUUGAAUAAGUUGUCUUAAUUAGUGUUAUUUUAAUACAGCCAAACCAAAAGUUUUGAAGUUUUGUUUCUAUUUGAUAGUUGUGUAGUGUCUAUAAUAUUACUAUAAUCAAUUUCUCAAUAUUUUCAGUUUUCCUGCUCUCCAUACAAAAUAAAAAUAUUUCUCUCCAAUUAAAGAGUGACUACGGACUGGGUAUUAGAUGAUAUCUGGAAACCUUACUGUUUACUCUAACAAUCCUUAUAUAUGACACUAAUGAUUUAGUGAUGUUGAGUAUCUUUUCAUGUGUGUGUUGGCCAUCUCUACAUCUUUUUUAAGAAGAUUUUUAGUUUGAUGUCAUCCCAUUUGUUUGCUUCUGUUUCCCUUGCCUGAGGAGACAUACCCUUCAAAAUACUGCUCUGACUAGUGUCAAAGAACAUACUACCUGUUUGCUUCCAGGAGUUCUAUGGUUUUAGGUCUUACAUUUAAGUUUGGAUUUAUUAAUCCAUUUUGAGUUUAUUUUUGUAUAUGAUGUGAGAAGGUAGUUUAGUUUGAUUCUUUUGCAUAUAACUGUCCAGUUUUCUCCACACCAUUUAUUGAAAAGACUGUUUUUUCCUUAUGGUAUUUUCUUGCAUCCUUUGCCAUAGGUUAAUUGCUCAUAUAAGUGUGGGUUUAUUUCUGGGCUCUCUAUUCUGUUCCAUUAAUCAAUGUCUGUUUUGUGCCAGCAUCAUACUGUUUUGAUGACUAAAGCUUUGUAGUAUAGUUUGAAAUCAGGGAGCACAAUACCUCUUGUUUUGUUCUUUUUUUCUUAAGAUUGUUUUGGCUGGUCAGGGUCUUCUGUAUUUCUGUACAAAAUUUAGAAUCAUUCUAGUCCUGAGGAAAAUGCCAUUGGUAUUUUGAUAGGAAUUGCAUUGAAUCUGUAGAUUCCUUGGGCAGUGUGGUUAUUUUAACAAUAUUCUUCUAAUCCUUGCGAUUUUUAUCAUGGAAAUGUUCAAGUAUGCACAAAAGUAGAGAGAAUACUAUAAUCAACUAUCAUAUCACUUCAACCCUACAUAAUUCAGUCUGCAUUUCUAAACAAGAACAUUUUCUUACACAAGCAGAACACCAAUGCUACCCUUAAUGAAAUUCUUAAGAGUUCUCAUCACAAGACACUUUUUUUUCUUCUGUUUCUAUACAAGAAGGUGGCUGUUCUUGGGUAGAACCUAUUGUAAUCAUUUCAUGAUGUAUGUGAGUCAAAUCAUGAUGCACUAUACCUUAGACUUACACAGUGCUGUAUGUCAAUUAUAUCUCAAUAUUGGAAUUAAAAAAGGUAGCUCCCUCCUACAGGUGCACACUAAAAUGAAAAGCUACUGCAUUUGACCCCCACACAUAGAGCGAACCCCACCACCCUCUGCCUGGUUU